AUGGAGGAUACCAGCAAAAUCUUGGAGAGGUUGAAUCUCGAGGAUGAUGAGGCGGAUGACCUAGUUUGGGAAGAUGAGAUCGAUACUGAUGAGAUUAAACCGAAAUGGUUGACUCUUGGCCGGCUCUUGACAGGGAAGAGUUUCAGUCAGAGUGCAUUGAUAGGGGAUAUGAAAGCGGCCUGGAACCCUGCCCAGGCCGUUGUAUGGAGAAGAAUCAAUGCGAACCUGUUCUCGAUUCAAUUCAAUUGUCUUGGCGACUGG
Molecule: ribosomal RNA, 261 nt
Filed under: Triticum aestivum (bread wheat)
Lineage: Eukaryota; Viridiplantae; Streptophyta; Magnoliopsida; Poales; Poaceae
Description: partial small subunit ribosomal RNA
Source: RNAcentral